AUGCAGAGGCCAAGGCCGAGAUUCCACCAUGUGGAAGAGACAGAGAACAAUGUAGUGCGCAGCCUGUUCUGGACAGACUCCUUGUGUAAGAUGAAUUAUGAGCUAUAUGGAGAUUUCGUGUCUUUUGACACGACAUUCUCUAUGAAUAUAUAUGGCUUGCCAUUUGCACCAAUUAUAGGUGUCGACAACCACGGGUCGACCGUCCUGUUUGGAGUAGGCCUUUUGAAGGAUGAGAAAAUAGGGUCAUUCAAGUGGCUCCUAAGCACGUUUGUCGAGGCAAUGGGAGGUAAAGAGCCGAAAUACAUAAUAACAGACCAGGACCAGGCGAUGAAGACUGCAAUAAAGGAAGCUCUUCCGAGAACGAGGCACAGGUUCUGCUGGUGGCAUAUUAGGAAGAACCUGAGGGAAAAUAACACAGCAGUGUUUGCGCAGCACCCAGGGAUGUCUGAUGAUUUAUUUCGAAUCGUCAAAAACUCACUAGAUCAAGACGAGUUUGAGCGUGCCUGGAAAGCAGCAAUUUCUGUGCACAAGGCGGAAGGCAACAAACACCUGAACACGCUGUGGGAACUCCGAAAUUUCUGGGUACCGGCCUACUUCAAGGACUGCUUCUAUCCUUUCUCGUCAACAACCACUCGCAGUGAGAGCACGAAUUCGAUGUGGAAGAAUUACGUCGACCACAGGGACACUAUAAAAAGGUUUGUUGAUGUGUAUCACAUGAUUCAGCAAAAUUGCCUCGCCACGCUUGACAAGAAAAGACACCGAACAGAAGAGAAGGCGCCAUCACUAGAGACGGGUUUUCCGAUUGAAGACAAGCAAGUCAAGUAUACACGAAUGAAAUUUUCAAGAAAUUCCAGCUGGAGCUACGGAACCGGACUUACUUCAAGUGCUCUGACCUGGCAAAGGGGAGGCAAUAUUUUUUAA
This 921-nucleotide ribosomal RNA is filed under the name Triticum aestivum (bread wheat). RNAcentral describes it as "partial small subunit ribosomal RNA". The record is from RNAcentral. Lineage: Eukaryota; Viridiplantae; Streptophyta; Magnoliopsida; Poales; Poaceae.